UGGAGCGCGCGCAUGCCCGGCAGCUCCCGCUGCUGAAUAGCUGAGAGGCUCACUGAGGUGGCCAGCUGUGCUCCGAGUGCAGCGGGGUCAGCAUGGACGAGGGCGAGUUGCACCCUGAAGAGCCUCAUCAUCGGAGAGAGUGGGGUGGGCAAGUACAGUAUCUCUUUCAGCCUGCUCUUGAGGUUCACAGAUGAUACCUUUGAUCCAGAACUUGCAGCAACAAUAGGCAGUCCACUUUACAUCGCUUUCCAGACAACUGGAAUUUGAGACAGCGUCUAUGACAGUGAUCCCUUUGUUUUCACCUGGCGUAUGUUCUCAUCAGACUGGUUGCAGUCACAUCAUGCUUCAGAAAUGCAGGAAUCACAUGAACCUGUCCAUCCACAGAUGAAGUGGUAAAGAAACUGCCAUAUUAGAUACAUGAUGGUGUACUCUUCAGCCAUAAAGCUUCAGGAAACCCUGUCAUCAGCAACCACGUGGAGGAACCUGUCCAUCCACAGAUGAAGGGAUCAGGAAACUCUGGUAUGUAUACUGAAGGGAAAUGCUUUUUGGCUACCAAAAUAAUGAAAUUACGUCGUUUGGAGCAACACAGAAGAACCUGUCCAUCCACAAAUGAAGACAUCAAGAAACUCUAGUAUGUACACAAGGCAAAACACUUCAGCCAUCAAAAUCACUGACAUUAUGUCACUUGGAGCAACCCAGUUGACCUGCCAAGGCUGCCUCUUCCUCCACAGGCAGAUGAACGCUGUGGCUGCUGCUCCUGGUGGGGACGUGCCCUGACACUGCCAACACCACUGCUCCUCUAUUUAUAAGUCUUAAUAGGGUUGCUGAUCCAGCUAUAGCUGAACAGCUGACAUGCACCUCACGCUAAGCCGGGUGCUUCAUAUGUAUCUAACUUGAAAAAUGCUGAGCUAGUUACCUUAAUACCGUUAACUUUUACUAAAAGUUUGUUUUUCUUUUUUAAUCCCAGCGAGCUCCAAACAAGUUUUAGGAGGCUCCCCAAAGCCAGCAAAGACUUUAACUAAAAGUAGAAUUUCAAAGUACUGUAAUUGGAUUAGAAACCAAACCCCAAAAUUAAAUGUGAAGAUUAGUAUCCGUACUGAACCGGCCCAUCUGGUGGACACAGGAUUUGUGUUAUCGACCACAAUGUUACCCAGGAUUCAUGAUUUCUGGAAUUUGUCAGUGUUAAGAAAAUUGGAUUGAGUACCAAAUACAGCAGAGCAAACCCAGCUUUGAGGCAAGGACCCUAUAAAGUAGUCAUGCAGUACUUUUGUUAGGGUUCUGGGUGCAAAUCUUCCUCAUCCCUCCCACCUUCUCCUGGCCUGCCUGUAAACCCAAACCACCAGGUACCUCAAUUUUCUUCAAGGUCAGGCUGUUCUUAAUGUUGCUAAAUUGAUCAAGGAAAUGGGUGAGCCACUGCUUGCUCUGCACAUAGUCCUCAGGGUGCUCAGGGUUCAGGCAGUACAGCAGCUGCAUGGUUUUGGCCCGCAGUAGUAACUGGCCCAUUCCUAGGCUGUCCCCAAAGAUGUGUCCUCUAAAGAAGCUGGUCAGGUAGAGGGGGUGUCCACCAUGGUUGUAGAUGGGGAAGGAGAUGCUGCUCAGGUCGAGCGUUUUGUUCACCUGCCAGGCGUACAGGAGCGGGUUGGGGACACCACACAGUGCAUCUUGUACCUGGCCCACACCUACUGGUACUGGUACAUUUCCCUGCGCCACACACGGAUCCUGCACUGUACUGUCCAGUCAACUGACUUCAUCAAAGAUGUCUGGGUCCAGCAGUGAGUUGCUGUGGAAGGCGACCAGAAUGGAGGUGAUAUCAGUCUCGGUGCUCUUCCUGGAGGCGGAGAAGCGGUCAGAGUCCUUGGUGGUGAAGU
Molecule: long non-coding RNA, 1868 nt
Organism: Rhinopithecus roxellana (golden snub-nosed monkey)
Lineage: Eukaryota; Metazoa; Chordata; Mammalia; Primates; Cercopithecidae
Exons: 4
Source: RefSeq, a predicted model, not a curated record